CCCUCGACUUCUCCUGCCCGUUGGGCCG
Molecule: small RNA, 28 nt
Filed under: Bombyx mori (domestic silkworm)
Lineage: Eukaryota; Metazoa; Arthropoda; Insecta; Lepidoptera; Bombycidae
Description: ovarian small RNA-2589
Source: RNAcentral